GGCAUUGUGGCUUAGCUGGUUAAAGCUAAGUGCAGUUUACUUAUCUAGUAAACAGGAGAUCCUGGGUUCAAAUCCCAGCAGUGCUU
RNAcentral lists this transfer RNA (86 nucleotides) under Alligator mississippiensis (American alligator). It matches the Rfam family "tRNA". From Rfam's summary of the family: Transfer RNA (tRNA) molecules are approximately 80 nucleotides in length. Their secondary structure includes four short double-helical elements and three loops (D, anti-codon, and T loops). Further hydrogen bonds mediate the characteristic L-shaped molecular structure. tRNAs have two regions of fundamental functional importance: the anti-codon, which is responsible for specific mRNA codon recognition, and the 3' end, to which the tRNAs corresponding amino acid is attached (by aminoacyl-tRNA synthetases). tRNAs cope with the degeneracy of the genetic code in two manners: having more than one tRNA (with a specific anti-codon) for a particular amino acid; and 'wobble' base-pairing, i.e. permitting non-standard base-pairing at the 3rd anti-codon position. The record is from Rfam by way of RNAcentral. Lineage: Eukaryota; Metazoa; Chordata; Crocodylia; Alligatoridae.